CGGAGGGAGCUAGCGUUGUUCGGAAUUACUGGGCGUAAAAGCGUACGUAGGCGGUUAUUCAAGUCAGAGGUGAAAGCCUGGAGCUCAACUCCAGAACUGCCUUUGAAACUAGAUAGCUAGAAUCUUGGAGAGGUGAGUGGAAUUCCGAGUGUAGAGGUGAAAUUCGUAGAUAUUCGGAAGAACACCAGUGGCGAAGGCGACUCACUGGACAAGUAUUGACGCUGAGGUACGAAAGCGUGGGGAGCAAACAGGAUU
RNAcentral lists this ribosomal RNA (255 nucleotides) under uncultured bacterium. RNAcentral's name for it is "partial 16S ribosomal RNA". It matches the Rfam family "Bacterial small subunit ribosomal RNA", at positions 526 to 779 of the family's 1533-position model. The record is from RNAcentral.